CCUCUGUAUUGCAAGUUUUGCUCUGGCGGCUAACGCCACUGCAGGCCGACGAGCCGCACGUCCGGAAUCGAGCCUGCUGGCCGCCGCCGCAACUGACUGAGCACACCGACCACUGAGACCAAGACACGAAUACCUGUGCACAGAUGUGUGUUGCAGUCUCUCUGCUGUUCACCAAUUCCCAGACAACCUCUUCCCCCGCCCUGAGGAGAUGGAUUAUCACAUUGGCGUCUCCUGAAGUGAACUCCUCCUCCGCAGGAAAUUGAGCACGAAGACCAAGCUCCCCACUGGCCCCAGCCGCCGUCGACGUAGCAGCCGGGGAGUGAGUGACAGUGAAAAACACCAGCUUGGCAGGAACUGAGGAGAGAAUAAACUGAACCUGAAUCAAUUAUUUGGCCAAAUCGCUUUUGGAAAAUUGUUGUAAACAAACAUGUUUAUGUUGAGAAGCAGGAGACGUGCGGGGGACAAAAUGGGUGGACAUGAAAACUUUACAGACAUGCUCACCACGAAACGAGAAAAACAUCAAUUCAUGUAAAAUGCUUCAAACCAAUUUUUGCAGUCAGUGAUGAUUUCUUCUCCGUGACUUGCAAACUGCCACUCAGUCUCACCAGGUCUGGAAUCUAAUCAGUGGAGAAAAAAACAAGAACUUGCAGAACAUUUCAAACGUGUUUUGGGAAUUUAAAAAAAAAAAAGGAUCUUUAGCCAACCUGCAGCGGAGCUGUUUUCGUAUUUGCAGCGACAUUCCUCCCUGGUUACACACACGCCAUCCUGCAGGACCAUGUCGCCAGGGCAACCGCAAGACUUGCUGCAUCCUGGUGAGUCCAGGCACUCCGUGUCACCAUGGAGAUCAGAACAGGAGCGAGGACAGGGCUUGCCACAAGGCCAUUCCUCUUGGCCGCCACCACAUUCUGAAAAGGAAGUACGGAAUGUUCCUAAAAGUCAGCCAAUUUCGAUCAUCGCUAAUAAAUGCCCCUAGUCAAUGUCAAAUUAAAAUGAAAUGAGAUGUAGUUCCUACACGAUUCAAUAGUGCGCAUGAAAGCAUUUGCAAAAUUGACCUGAGCACACGGUCGUGUUGUCAUGGCAACCACGGCUCUGCGUCGCUUCUCCGAGGCAGGGCAGACCACCGAAUCUUGAAGGGGGGUUGUUACACUCUCUGGUGCGAUUGGAUGACCCUGCACACCCGUCGCAGUCUGACCAAGCCGACCAGGAACUCCAAGAACCAUGCACUACAUCGUGAUGAAUUGAAAAUGAAAAAUUAAAUUUACUUAGCAGACAUGAUGUUAUGCCCUAACAAAAUAAAAAUCGAUCCUGCCUGGACAGAAGGUGAUAACAGGACAGGGCUGUCUCUGGAUUUGAGCUCCAACGCCAUUAUGUAUUUCCUGUUCUCCAGAACAGGGUUGCCCGCUAGCUUUGGGUUCGGGACAGCUGCAGCUUCUGUAACGGGAUACCGACUCUGCCCCACAGGUCCUGGAGCAUGGAGUCCACGUGGACCACUCACACCAGCCACCUGAUACUGGAAACACAGAGAAGAGGGGUCGGACUGUCACAAUCUCUCCUUCGGCUCUGAACACCCCCGCCACAUGACUUGGUACAUUGUGUCCAAUUACUCCAAGGACCCCAACCACCGUCACCUUGGAGGAAUCAACGAUGACAUUUUUUGAAAGUUGAUUCUUAAACAUGUAAACUGUAUUUUCACUUAAGAGGGAAUUAUUACUAACUCACGGUCACAUGGGGUGGUGACACAGACUUUGUCCUCUCGGUUAGGCCCCGGACACGACGGACCAUCGGCGGAGCGCUGAGGGCUGGAACAGAACCGAUAUCGGGACUGCAGACCUGCUCCACAUGACACUGAACAGUGACCCCAAGGAGUCCACGGUGACCACUGGCCAUCAGCUACAGAGUGUAAAUGCAAAAAAUAAAAAUAGAUUAAAUAAGGAUGAAUGUGCCACGAAUAAAAAAAAAAAUUUUUUACCUGUGCACCUGGCUUGAGAACAGUUUACAAGUCUCCCUGCUUGACAUGUACUGAAAUACGGGGAUACACAUUGAAGUUAGAAACACAUGCAGAUAAGAUGGAAAUAAAUUAGAACACAUUGCAUCUACUUA
Syngnathus acus (greater pipefish) is the source of this 2100-nucleotide long non-coding RNA. RefSeq lists it as uncharacterized. The record is from RefSeq and is a predicted model, not a curated record. The transcript is spliced from 3 exons. Lineage: Eukaryota; Metazoa; Chordata; Actinopteri; Syngnathiformes; Syngnathidae.